Molecule: ribosomal RNA, 497 nt
Filed under: uncultured bacterium
Lineage: Bacteria
Description: partial 16S ribosomal RNA
Rfam family: Bacterial small subunit ribosomal RNA
Source: RNAcentral
GAUGAACGCUGGCGGCGUGCCUAAUACAUGCAAGUCGAGCGAACAGACGAGGAGCUUGCUCCUCUGACGUUAGCGGCGGACGGGUGAGUAACACGUGGAUAACCUACCUAUAAGACUGGGAUAACUUCGGGAAACCGGAGCUAAUACCGGAUAACAUGUUGAACCGCAUGGUUCAACAGUGAAAGACGGUCUUGCUGUCACUUAUAGAUGGAUCCGCGCCGCAUUAGCUAGUUGGUAAGGUAACGGCUUACCAAGGCAACGAUGCGUAGCCGACCUGAGAGGGUGAUCGGCCACACUGGAACUGAGACACGGUCCAGACUCCUACGGGAGGCAGCAGUAGGGAAUCUUCCGCAAUGGGCGAAAGCCUGGCGGAGCAACGCCGCGUGAGUGAAGAAGGUCUUCGGAUCGUAAAACUCUGUUAUUAGGGAAGAACAAAUGUGUAAGAAACUAUGCACGUCUUGACGGUACCUAAUCAGAAAGCCACGGCUAACUACGUG